Molecule: ribosomal RNA, 750 nt
Filed under: uncultured bacterium
Lineage: Bacteria
Description: bacterial SSU rRNA
Rfam family: Bacterial small subunit ribosomal RNA
Source: RNAcentral
UCGAUUAGAGUUUGAUCAUGGCUCAGGCCUGAUCGCUGGCGGCGUGCCUAACACAUGCAAGUCGAACGGACACAUCCCGUCGAUGCGAUUUCGGUCAAGUCAAGGGAUGUUUUAGUGGCGGACGGGUGAGUAACGCGUGGGCAACCUGCCUUACACCGGGGGAUAACACUUAGAAAUAGGUGCUAAUACCGCAUAACAGGAGAACAUGCAUGUGUUUUCCUUGAAAACCACGGUGGUGUAAGAUGGACCCGCGUCUGAUUAGCUUGUUGGCAGGGUAACGGCCUACCAAGGCGACGAUCAGUAGCCGGCCUGAGAGGGUGGACGGCCACAUUGGGACUGAGACACGGCCCAGACUCCUACGGGAGGCAGCAGUGGGGAAUAUUGCACAAUGGGGGAAACCCUGAUGCAGCGACGCCGCGUGAGUGAAGAAGUAUUUCGGUAUGUAAAGCUCUGUCAGCAGGGAAGAAAAUGACGGUACCUGACCAAGAAGCCCCGGCUAACUACGUGCCAGCAGCCGCGGUAAUACGUAGGGGGCAAGCGUUAUCCGGAUUUACUGGGUGUAAAGGGAGCGCAGACGGCAGUGCAAGUCCGGAGUGAAAGCCCGGGGCCCAACCCCGGGACUGCUCUGGAAACUGUACGGCUGGAGUGCCGGAGAGGUAAGCGGAAUUCCUAGUGUAGCGGUGAAAUGCGUAGAUAUUAGGAGGAACACCAGUGGCGAAGGCGGCUUACUGGACGGUAACUGACGUUGAG